GAACAGGCUCAGGCUGAUGGCGCUGAGCUGUGCUGGAACAUGUCUUGACUUGUACCGGCUUGCCUGGAGAGAGUGUGCAAGGCUUGUGGUCACCCGCCUGGACAGCUGGGUGCUUCUCACUGACCUCUCUCAGGCAGCAGGCACAACACUGAGGGAUAGAAAGUGAGGUGGACAAGAGUGAACUGGACCAGGGAUCGGACUAUGACCCAGAGAGCCAGGCUCAUCUCUGCUGGACUGGUGGAAGUUCUUCCUGUAUUUCAAGUCUCCCCCUCCCCCUCCUAAAUAUCUUGCAAGUAAUGCUUUGAUCAUAGAGGGACCAUGAAGCCACUGACCACAAUCAGGCCAGUGUUAUCACAUACAACAUGUGCCACCCAGUAAAAUGGAGGAAAGUCAACAUGUCUGUCCUCAAUGUCUACAUAACAUGAGAUAUGACGGACACUUAUCAGGGAACAAAGCUGAACAAUCCUUCAAUAAGCAUGUGGGUAAAAAGCAUGGAGAGUUUGGGAUUACUCUCAGUUGUUUCCCCAUUUGCGCUAUUCUGUCUUCUGCCCACCACAAGCACGCGGGCCAAACUCAGUGGGGAGGCGUUUGCCAAGCAGAGGACAGACCUGAGGACGAGGAUGAGGACAGACAGGAAGGAUGGCGCCCACCGGCUGCUGUGAGUGUUUCUCUGGCAGUGUCUUAGCUGGUUGUUGUGAGGAGUGAGAACGAAGCAAUCAGCAAGUAUACUGCCGCAGAAACUCUUUACAUUAAGAGCCCCCAUCCCCCCUGAAUGCCACUCCGGCUACUCCACUGCUGCCUGGGCAGAGUGUCUCUCGACUCCCCCAUACACCCCCAUCACGCAGCCCCAGCCAGGGAAGAGUGCGGUAGAGUGUGGUAUGUAUCUAUCUCCUGCUUCUGGCAGUAACUCCAUUUGACACAAACAAAAGUGAAGUCGUUAAGGAAUUAUUACAGUAGACUCAGGAUGAUUGCAGUAAUGAUACAAUAAAGCACCACCAUCUGUUUUCUUAUAAAUGUGGUGUGGUUGGUUGUUGAAAUGUGUCGAUCAGUAAACAUGUUGUGUUAGUUAAGAUCAUCUCUCAGUUUCCCAUUUGACUGUCUGCUUUUGUUGGUUUGUUAAACGACAGUUACCAUUGGCAGCACAGUCUGACCUUUAAGGCCCUCAGUAGAAGACACACAUAGCGGUGUAGCUAGACACAAACAUCAUGAGUGCGAUUAUGUCCUAUGGCUCUUUAUGAUCACAUGCUGAUUGGUGACACAUUUUUGUAUUUCAAAUUAAAAAAAA
Alosa alosa (allis shad) is the source of this 1285-nucleotide long non-coding RNA. RefSeq lists it as uncharacterized. The transcript is spliced from 3 exons. Lineage: Eukaryota; Metazoa; Chordata; Actinopteri; Clupeiformes; Clupeidae. The record is from RefSeq and is a predicted model, not a curated record.